UCCCUGGUGGUCCAGUGGUUAAGACCCUGUGCUUCCACUGCAGGGGGCGCAGGUUCGAUCCCUGGUCAGGGAA
Bos taurus (domestic cattle) is the source of this 73-nucleotide non-coding RNA. Lineage: Eukaryota; Metazoa; Chordata; Mammalia; Artiodactyla; Bovidae. The record is from Rfam.